RNAcentral lists this ribosomal RNA (330 nucleotides) under uncultured eukaryote. RNAcentral's name for it is "partial 18S ribosomal RNA". It matches the Rfam family "Eukaryotic small subunit ribosomal RNA", at positions 1470 to 1796 of the family's 1831-position model. The record is from RNAcentral.
CUCUUAGAUGUUCUGGGCCGCACGCGCGCUACACUGAUGCAUUCAACGAGUCUAAAACCUGCUCUGAUAGGGGUGGGUAAUCUUUUGAAUGUGCAUCGUGAUUGGGAUAGAUGAUUGCAAUUCUUCAUCUUCAACGAGGAAUGCCUAGUAAACGCAAGUCAUCAGCUUGCAUUGAUUACGUCCCUGCCCUUUGUACACACCGCCCGUCGCUCCUACCGAUUGAAUGAUCCGAUGAAUACCAUGGAUUGAGAGUACGAAUAGGUUCGCUUAUUUCUGCUGCUCGAGAAGUGGGGUAAAUCUUAUCAUUUAGAGGAAGGAGAAGUCGUAACA